This 29958-nucleotide long non-coding RNA is filed under the name Theobroma cacao (cacao). RNAcentral describes it as "long non-coding RNA (TCAC_LNC001937)". The stretch from base 23558 to 23664 matches the Rfam family "Plant small nucleolar RNA R71". Lineage: Eukaryota; Viridiplantae; Streptophyta; Magnoliopsida; Malvales; Malvaceae. The record is from RNAcentral.
GGAUCAAGAAUUGGAGUACUCGAAAUUCGAUUCCCAUUAUAGUGAGUAACCUUAUUAUCGUCUUAAUUAUCUAAAGUAGUUUUUAUCUAAUUUUGUGAUUUUAUGGAAAAUGAGUUUAAAUGGUAAAUCUUUACGUUGUAUGAGCAAAAUGUGAUUAAAUGAAAUGAUUUUAUAAAAUUGUCUUGAAAUUGAAAAAUGAUUUUGAAAAUGCAGUAAUUGGAGACUAAUUGUUGUGUUGUAAAUUAUGGUUUGAAUUGAAUGGCUUAUGAUAAUGUGGGCAUGAGUGGCUUGGUUUGGUAAAUGUGUUGAAAAAGUAUGAGCUGUUGAUUUGCCUUGAGAGGCUAUAAAAUAAAAUAAUUGCCAUGUCAUGCUGUUAAAUUUUUAUUGAAUUGGUGGGUUAUAAAUUGGUCACUGUAGUGGACGGGUUUCAUGGACCAGCCUAUUAGAGGGGGACGGUAACCCUAUUAUAUUCAUACCUCAGUAUGAGAGGCGCGGUUGGAUAACUCCUAAGGUUAAAACUUUAGAGUUCACUUCACGCCAAACCAGUACGUGAGGGUGAACUCAACCAACGCCAGGGAACGUUUAUGUUUUCAAAAUAAAAAUAUGAUUUAUGCGUACAUGACUUUUUAGCAGCCUUGGCGGACUCGGUUGGGAUAGCCCCUAGCCAAGGUAUCCUUGAUAACUGAGUAUGAGAAUGAUUUUGGCACGAGCCAAACUUUUUAGGAAAUCAUAAACCUCGUUGUUUAUUUUGGUGAAAUGAAUCUAUUUUAUCUUAUUAAAAUGAAUUCGAAAUGCUGUGAAUCAUUUUUAUGCUAAUCUAUUUUAUCUGUCUCCAUUUACUCAGCUUUAGAUAUUUUAGAUGGUAUUUGUUUACUCACUGGGAUUAUAUAAUCUCACCACCCUUCUUUGCACCAAUUCAGGCUCAGGAUGGUUGGUAAAUAACUCACUUUGUUGAGGGCUACAUUUGGACUUGCAUGCUUAAAAACUGUAGGUUUACCGCCUUUGAUACUUUCGGUCAUUCGUGGGCCCACGUGUCACUGUAAAUUAAAUUUUAUACUUUGGUUAUUAGUAUUACAAUAUGUAUGAAUUAUUUUACUUUUACGCUAUAAAAAUUAUUUACCGGUAACUCUAUAAAUAUUGUUUUAUAAGAAAAUAGAAUAUUUUAUUGAAUAUUUUUAUUAUAUUCAAAUAGUAUAAUUUCAUUUUAAAUGAUGGUUUUAGACGUUUAAACUUAUUUUUGAUUAUGAAUUAUGUGUUUUAUACUCGCAUACUACAUUUUUAGCUGAUUUCAAAAUUUUUGAGGAAAAAUGAUUAAAAUGCCCUUGUGAGACAGAAAUCAUUUUUUUUAUUGAUUUAAGUUGGAAAUAGCUUAAAAUCUUUUAAAACAUGAUAUUUGGCAAUGGUUACUCACAGGGGAAAUGAGAAACUGAUAUUAAAGCCUUGCGGGGUUUCGAUUAACAUUCCGGGUAAUGAGUGUCGAUCGGGACACCGCGGUGGUUGUCACGGGCUCUAAGGGAGUACUGGGUCGUGACAAUUAGAUUGGUAUCAAAGCCUUUGGUUUUAAAGAUCAAAGGCCUUUGGUUUUAAAGAUUAGAGCUUUUGGGUUUAAAGUUGUUUUAAAAACUACAGUGUCAGUGUGGCCCAAGUUAAGUUAAGUUAAGUUAGGUUUGAUAGAAUAGAAUACGUGCAUCUGCAUAUAGAAUUUGGAGUUGUUUAGACUCGUUCUGUUUCUUCUUAUAGAUCUUAUGGGAGCAUAGGUCAUAGAGAGGGAGCUAUAUGAACUCUUGUUCCUAGUAAUCCACUUUCUUGUUAAUGUCAUGCAAAGAUCAUAAGUAGGGCCGUUGUCCGGGUUUAAGAUGCCACCCGUGACACGAGCUAGUGUUAGAGAGAUCUUAAAACGAAUGCACCUAAUGAAAGAUUAAUGAAAUGAUAUAUCCCUUCGAUUAAGGAUAGAGAAAUUUGGAGUUGGACUAAUAGGUUGUGAUAAUUUAUUCAUUUGGUGGAGUUAUAACUGAACUCAUGGUUGUCAAUUGGAAAAAGAUUUGAGGAGUAUGGAUUGUAUUAGGGUUAAUAUAAAGGAGCACGUGUGAUAAUGGUAAUAAGGGGCGUACUUUGAUUAGAAUGAAUAAUGAUGGUUGUAAUUCACUUGGAGUGUAUAAAUUAAGCAUUGAGGUAAGAGUAAACCCAUACUUAUGUGCAUAAAGAUAAGAACACUAUGUUAAUUGAGAUUGUUAUGCCCAUAUAAAAGUGGUGUUGGGAUUUUGAAAUAUUUUUUAUGUGAAUAUGUGUUGAAUAGGUACAGUAGCUUAGACGGAACUGGUGUUGAUUUCAAUUAAGCGAUUGUGAGAUUUCAAGAAUUGAUUGGACCUAUUAUAGUUCAUAGAUAUAAGCACGUGUGAUAACGUGUGGGUCCGGGAACCAGACCACCAGACGUUAUGAAAACACACUAGGAGUCGCCACCAAUCUUUUUUCUAGGUGUGAUUGGCCACCUAUUGACUCGAUUCUAAUCGACGAAUUCUUAAAUUAAUUUUAAGCCCGUCGAAAGAAUCUUAAACUAGUUUACAUUUUUCUAGAUCUAGGUUCGGGAGUACGGUUACGCCCGGGGAAGGAUUAGCACCCCCGGGACGCCCGUUCCAUGAAUGGCACCAUUUUUAGAUUAUCUUAUUGGGCUUUAAUCUUUAAGUUCAUUAUGUUUCCUUAGCUAUAAUUUGCUUAUUAUAUCUCCAAUUUUAUUAAAUAUUUUUUAUUUGAUUCUAAAAUGAAAUGCAAGUGUGAGGCAAGAUGAAAUGCAUGGCGUAAGAUAAAAAAUAUCGGACGAAUAACCUUUUAUCGAGGACGUUCUUCCAAAUCUGCCCAUCAUACUGGUGGGAUCCGGGGUGUUCUCUCACCUAGGGAAUUAUCCGAGAAAUUCACCUUCGCAAAUUCAACGAAUAAAUCCCAUAAUCGGGGUUAUCGUACGUUUUUCUUUAAAAAUAAUGUUUUCGUGAAUAUGAACCUAUUACGAGCAAAAGCCUUUUUAUUAAAGAUGUUUCCCGAGCCCUUCCAUCAUACUAGUGGGACCCGGGACAUCCUUUCACCUAUGGAGCUUUCUGAGAGAAACUCGCCUUCGCAAGAUCUUCGAAAAAUCCCAUCAUCGGGACUUAACUCGUAAACAAAAAUAUCUAUAUGCAAUUAUAUGCAUGAUGCAAUAGAAAUAUAUGUUAUGCUUGUGAAAUUAAUUAUUUUUUAUUAUUAUUUAUUUUUUGAACAAAUUAAAUAUAGCAUAUAUUUUUAUAUAUUUUUAUUUUUAUUUUUUUAAUUUAUUAUUUUUCAACUAAUUUUUAUGUAGUAAAUUUUUUGUUUAUUUAAAAUAAAAAUCUCAGAAUCUGAAAAUCAAGGCCCUCCCAUCGUACUGGUGGAGCCUUAGUUUGGAUUCCGAACCUAGGAAAAAUUAGCCCGAGAUUGCGACUCCUCGCGGCCCGAUCACUCAUCCCAUCAUCGGUAUGUUAUACUUGUAGUUAAUGUCAUGGAAUAUUAUUAUUACUUUAUAUUAUUACUGUUAUUUUUUUUUAUUUUAUUUUUUAAUAUAUUUGUUAAAUAUUUUCCUAAGCUUAAGUUCUUUGUAUAACUAAACAUUUUCUAAAAUAUUUUUUAUUUUUUAUUUUUUCAUGAUUUAUUAUUUCUAUAUUUUCUAUUUGUAUUAAUUUCCUAAGUCUAAAAUAUCAUCUAAAAAAAACAAUUAGAACAUUAUGCUAUAAUAAUUGAGAAUUAAUUCUACCUAAUAUUCCUAAAAGAAAAACAUAUAAAAUGGGCCAACCUAAAACAUAAACAGAUCCAUAAAAGGGUUAAGGAUUUACCUUGCUAGGUUAAAAGCAGCCCAAGAUAGCCAGCAUGCUCCAACUAAACUGCCUCCCUAAGGCCCGCGUAGCCUCUUGUCACAACGCACCGCCUUGGUGCACAAACCAAAGCCUUUUUGCCUCCCAAAACUACACUGUUUUGAUCACCACUACACUUUCCCCAAAACGACGCCAUUUCACUUUAAACCCUAGAUAUAAAACCCCAUUUUCUUUCUUUUCUUCCCAUUUUUUCCCCUCACUUUCUCUCUUUAGCCGUCGGACCCUCCUCAUUCUCUCUACACCCCCAACUUCUCUUCUCACCUUUCUCUCUCACCCUCACGUCGGUGACUUCUUUUUUGCCUCCGAUCUGCAGAUGGCCUCCCAACAGAAACCUCUAGACCUCCUAAGCCAGCUCACCUUGCCGUCAGUUCUCUCUCUAUCUCAAUACCGCCGGUUACCCAAAGCUUUUCUUCUUUAAUUGGAGACUGUAACCCAAGGCUUAUCCUUCUUCACGGUGACUAAAUACCCAAGAUCUAUUUUCCUUGAACAGCGGCUGCACCCCAAGAUAUAUUUUCCUUCACUGGUGGCUAAAUACCAAGGAUCUAUCUUCCUUGACCGGCAGGCUGUAACCCCAAGCUAUUCCUCCUUAAUCGGUGACUAAAUACCCAAAGAGCAACCUCCCUAAAAUUAAAAUAUCUCCCUAAAAAUGAGCCAAAAAUUCCCCCAAAAAACUAACCAUUCUACCUCUUUCAUUGUACAUAUUUUCUGAUUUUUUUUUGUAUUUUUUUGAUUUGUGGAUUGUGGUUUUUUGGCUGCUAGAAAGUUAGGGUUUUUGGUCUGCAAAUGUUUUUGGGUUGCUAAGGAUUCCUACGGUUUUUCGAUUGCUCCCUUCCCUCCCCUUUGUUCUGUGGCUACAAUGUCUCUUUUAUACUCGAUUUUUCAAUCGAGUACCAUUCUAGCCAAAUGCCUUCUUCCCACUACUUUGCUAGACGCAAGUUUUUUGCGUCUCGCACUAUAGUGGUGCUUGGCUGGUACUGGCAGGGUGCGUCCACGCCUUGCUAGUACUAUUUUUUUCUUUUUUCUUUUCCUUUUUUCUUUUAUUUUGUUUCUAAUUAUUUAAUUAAUUAAUUUUCAAUUAUUAUUUUUUGUUUGUCUAAGUAAAAUUACAGUGUCUACAGCACGUGAAUUAACUCGAGAGUGAGUAUCAAUGAUUACUAUAAUUGAUGUGUGGUCAUGAAGUAAGAAGUUAGUAAACAAAUCUGCUCUAAGGAUGAGCUCGAACUUUGCUAUGCAUAGCUGGGGGAGCCAAGAGAUUAAAGGACUAGAUGUGGAAUUGGCAGCUUGAGGUUAAAUGACUUGGAAAUGUCGAAACUAGUCUAAGUGCCAUAUGAAGUUCUAUAAUUGAGAUUGAUAUACGAAUUACUUGAAAGAUCAAUUUAAAAGUUUAUUCGGUUCUAAGUGUGGCCUAUGAUAUGAAUGAUCAGUCUUGAAGGUGAUCUCCCCAAAGUAAGGAAUUUAGAAAAUGUUGAUGUUUGGAUAUACUCUAAGAGAGAGAACUUCUGCAUCCUAAGUUUAGGACAACUUUGAUCUUAUGAUCACAAAGGCAAGGUGUAAUAACUAAGUAAAUUAUUCACUUAAUAAAUGUGAUUGNNNNNNNNNNNNNNNNNNNNNNNNNNNNNNNNNNNNNNNNNNNNNNNNNNNNNNNNNNNNNNNNNNNNNNNNNNNNNNNNNNNNNNNNNNNNNNNNNNNNNNNNNNNNNNNNNNNNNNNNNNNNNNNNNNNNNNNNNNNNNNNNNNNNNNNNNNNNNNNNNNNNNNNNNNNNNNNNNNNNNNNNNNNNNNNNNNNNNNNNNNNNNNNNNNNNNNNNNNNNNNNNNNNNNNNNNNNNNNNNNNNNNNNNNNNNNNNNNNNNNNNNNNNNNNNNNNNNNNNNNNNNNNNNNNNNNNNNNNNNNNNNNNNNNNNNNNNNNNNNNNNNNNNNNNNNNNNNNNNNNNNNNNNNNNNNNNNNNNNNNNNNNNNNNNNNNNNNNNNNNNNNNNNNNNNNNNNNNNNNNNNNNNNNNNNNNNNNNNNNNNNNNNNNNNNNNNNNNNNNNNNNNNNNNNNNNNNNNNNNNNNNNNNNNNNNNNNNNNNNNNNNNNNNNNNNNNNNNNNNNNNNNNNNNNNNNNNNNNNNNNNNNNNNNNNNNNNNNNNNNNNNNNNNNNNNNNNNNNNNNNNNNNNNNNNNNNNNNNNNNNNNNNNNNNNNNNNNNNNNNNNNNNNNNNNNNNNNNNNNNNNNNNNNNNNNNNNNNNNNNNNNNNNNNNNNNNNNNNNNNNNNNNNNNNNNNNNNNNNNNNNNNNNNNNNNNNNNNNNNNNNNNNNNNNNNNNNNNNNNNNNNNNNNNNNNNNNNNNNNNNNNNNNNNNNNNNNNNNNNNNNNNNNNNNNNNNNNNNNNNNNNNNNNNNNNNNNNNNNNNNNNNNNNNNNNNNNNNNNNNNNNNNNNNNNNNNNNNNNNNNNNNNNNNNNNNNNNNNNNNNNNNNNNNNNNNNNNNNNNNNNNNNNNNNNNNNNNNNNNNNNNNNNNNNNNNNNNNNNNNNNNNNNNNNNNNNNNNNNNNNNNNNNNNNNNNNNNNNNNNNNNNNNNNNNNNNNNNNNNNNNNNNNNNNNNNNNNNNNNNNNNNNNNNNNNNNNNNNNNNNNNNNNNNNNNNNNNNNNNNNNNNNNNNNNNNNNNNNNNNNNNNNNNNNNNNNNNNNNNNNNNNNNNNNNNNNNNNNNNNNNNNNNNNNNNNNNNNNNNNNNNNNNNNNNNNNNNNNNNNNNNNNNNNNNNNNNNNNNNNNNNNNNNNNNNNNNNNNNNNNNNNNNNNNNNNNNNNNNNNNNNNNNNNNNNNNNNNNNNNNNNNNNNNNNNNNNNNNNNNNNNNNNNNNNNNNNNNNNNNNNNNNNNNNNNNNNNNNNNNNNNNNNNNNNNNNNNNNNNNNNNNNNNNNNNNNNNNNNNNNNNNNNNNNNNNNNNNNNNNNNNNNNNNNNNNNNNNNNNNNNNNNNNNNNNNNNNNNNNNNNNNNNNNNNNNNNNNNNNNNNNNNNNNNNNNNNNNNNNNNNNNNNNNNNNNNNNNNNNNGAAUUAUGGUAUUGCAUAACAUGCAAUGAUCAAGUCAAGGAAAAUUUUUGAAGUAUCAAUGGGAUUAUAAAGCAUACACGCAUAAUAGAUUAUAAUUCAAUGGAGAUGACAUUAUGAUGCAAUGAUAUAUAGUACAAGGAAACUUAAGCAUAUAAUUGGAAAUGAUAAGAAGAGAGUAUAAGUAUGUAAAUGAUGUGGAACUAUGCACAGGCAUGAUGAGAAUUUGUAUGAAUUAUGAAAAUUAUUCUAUUGAAUCUUGGUUAUGAUGGGAAUGAACAAAGAGAAAUUAGUCUGAAGGCACUUGAAAACAGAUACCCAUAUAUAUAAUGAGGAAUAUGGACAUUUACAUGUGCAUAUAUACGUAUGUGUGGAGUUAGUGAUGUACCAACUAAAAUGAAGAAUGGUUUUAGUGGUUUGAGAUUUGAACUCAAUAUAUUUGAUGAGUUGUAUGGUAAUGUAACGAUCAAGAAUCUUAUCAGAAGUCGAUUUAUGGCGACUUAAGGAAUUUUGGAAAAAUAGUUAAGGGAAUGUAAUCUAUAGUAUGGUUAAGCCAUAUGAGAUGGAUUAAUAGGAUUAAGAAGAUUGAAAUUUCCUAAAUACAAGGUAAACAUGAAGUAUGUGGAAAUAAUUGAAGCCAUUAAUUUUCCCUAAAGCUGAGGAUAAGUACAGGAAUGAGAAUGGCAUGUUAAUGAUGCCAUAAACUACACAACAGUGUAUGAGGAUAGGAUGAAUGAAUGAAGUAAUAAGAUAGUGAUUGGUAUACCUAUAAAAUUAUAAAAUAGAAUCAAAAUUGGUAUGAUUGAGAUAGAGUUAUGGUUCAAGUUUAAUGAUAGUAAUAGAAGCAUGCUUGGUGUCUCGAUAUAAGAUAUCAUAAUUGUGAAAGUUACUGUUGAUCUGAUUUUAAAGGAUAAUAAUAGACAUAAGUGAAGUACUCGAGUUGAAUUAGAGGUGAAUGAGGUGAACAAAUCGAAAUUGCCUAAAAAGGGAGGACAUAAGAAGUAGAGCAUUAGCUGAGAAAAUAAUAUCCCCACCUUUUCUCUAAGUUUAGUAAAUGAAAUUUUGAGGUCAAAAUUUUAUUUUAAGGGGGGUAGUGCUGUCAAGCCCGACUUUACAAUAUGUUUAUUAUGCCAUUCCUACAUAAGAAUGCAUGUUUGCUUACUUGGGUACCUCGAAAAUAAUUAAAGGACGAUAUUGUACCAAAUGGUAUAAUUAAGUUGAAUUAAGUCUCGAACUAGUCCAAAUAGAGAUUUUAAGAUGAAAUUGAGAAUUUUAAAAUCCCAGAAUGACUUAAAAUGGUGAUUUGGAGUUCGAGGAUCGAUUUAAAGUCAAAUUGGAAUUUUCAUGACCUAAGGGCAAAAUGGUCAUUUUGCUACCUGAGGUUAAGAUGUGACUGUUGGAUGAAAUUUUUGACUAAGAUUGAUCAUUUGGGGUAUAAUUUGAGUUUAAGAAGUGAAAAAUUUUAAUUUUGGCAUUUUUUCGAGCAUAGGGGCAAAAUAGUCAUUUUGCUACCCAAAGGUAAAAUUGUAAUUUUACACCACCCAACACUUGUCCAGCACAUGGAUUUUACCUAAUAUUAUCAUGGAUAAUUGAGGAAAUUUAUAUGGUGGAGAGAGAUUGCUUAAUGGGUAAAUAUGACACAUGGACUAAUGAAAUGGUGACACAUGGCAAACACAUGGACUAAUGGAAUAGUGACACAUGGUAAAUUUUUGUCCAUUUAAUAUUUUCCUUUAUAAAGCUAAUUUGAAAUCUUCCACAUUCAUUCUUAUAGCUGGCCAUAGCAAGAACAAAGGAAGAAAAGAAGAACAAAAACCCUAGAGUGAAAAUUCAAGAGAAAAUUGGUGGAUUUCAAGUAAUCAAGACAUCAAAGGUGAAAUUUCUUAACUCUAGCUUGUGAUUUAUCUUUCCUAUGCAUUCUUUUGCAUUUCCCAUGGUUGAAUCACAAGAUAUCAUGAAGCAUUCAUGGCUGACCGAAUUUAGAGAGAGAAGAUUUGAUAAUUUAUUUGGUUAGAUUUUGAGAUAUUUUAGUGUUUAUAGUUGAUUUAUCUUGUUUGGAAGGAAAACAAGUAAGAAAAAUCACAUAUUCUUCAUGGAUUCUUCAUUGGCCGAAUUUCAUAAAGACAAUAUUGAAGAUGAAUCUUGUGAUGUCUUAUGUUAUUUAGUUAUAAUUUAAUGAAUUGUGGUGGUGGAAACCGAAAAUGGUAAUGUUUAGCAUGAAAAACCGUAUUCCCCUUAAGAACCUCCAUUGGCCGAAUCUUCCCUAUGGUGUGUUGAUGGUGGACUUGAUUUUAUUUCAAGUGAAUUGGUUAGGAAAUGAUGAAUUAUGGUGAGAAAAUCAAGUAGGAAAAAUCAUAGUGUUGAUGCACUCACCAUGGCCGAAAUUCUCAAGAAGAAAUGUGAGGAUGGUUUUGCUAAAUUUUAUGUUAUUUGACUUGUGUUUGAUGAUUUGGAGUAUUGGGAGAAAAAUGGAAUUAUUUGGAGUUAUAUUGGACAUAUUGGCCAAUUAAUCGGGUGAUAGAUCGAAUUAGGCCAAUACCAUUUUAUUUAGGUACAUAAUUGAAUUUAUAUUGAACACUGUAUUUAGAUAGUUACCCGAGUAUUUCACAUCCCAUUUCAUGCAUUAGUAUAAAGCUUGAAUUGGUUUUAUAACAAUUUAGCACAAAUGUAGUAAAUGGCUUAUUGUGCAUUAUGUCUAGGUGGUGAGCAUUUUGGCAAAAGUAAAGAGAUAGUACCCGAGGAUCAAGAAUCGGAGUACUCAGAAUUCGAUUCCCAUUGUAGUGAGUAACCUUAUUAUCGUCUUAAUUAUCUAAAGUAGUUUUUAUCUUAUUUUGUGAUUUUAUGAAAAAUGAGUUUAAAUGGCAAAUCUUUAUGUUUUAUAAGCAAAAUGUGAUUAAAUGAAAUGAUUUUAUAAAUUGUCUUGAAAUUGAAAAAUGGUUUUGAAAAUGGAGUAAUUGAAGACUAAUUGUUGUGUUGUAAAUUAUGGUGUGAAUUGAAUGGCUUAUGAUAAUGUGGGCAUGAGUGGCUGGAUUUGGUAAAUGUGCUGAAAAAGUAUGAACUGUUGAUUUGCCUUGGGAGGCUGUAAAAUAAAAUAAUUGCCAUGUCAUGCUGUUAAAUUUUUAUUGACUUGGUGGGUUAUAAAUUGGUCGCUGCAGUGGACGGAUUCCAUGGACCAGCCUAUUAGAGGGGCAUGGUAACCCUAUUAUAUUCAUACCUCAGUAUGAGAGGCGCAGUUGGAUAACUCCUAAGGUUAAAACUUUAGAGUUCACUUCAUGCCAAACCACCACGUGAGGGUGAACUCAGCCAAUGCCAAGGAACGACUAUGUUUUCAAAAUAAAAAUAUGAUUUAUGCUUACAUGACUUUUUAACAGCCUUGGUGGACUCGGUUGGGAUAGCCCUAGGCCAAGGUAUCCUUGAUAACUGAGUAUGAGAAUGAUUUUGGCACAAGCCAAACUUUUCAGGAAAUCAUAAGCGUUGUUGUUUAUUUUGGUGAAAUGAAUCUAUUUUAUCUUAUUAAAAUGAGUUGAAAAUGUUGUGAAUCAUUUUUAUGCUAAUCUAUUUUAUCUGUCUCCAUUUACUCAGCUUUAGAUAUUUUAGAUGGUAUUUGUUUACUCAUUAGGAUUAUAUAAUCUUACCACCCUCCUUUUCACCCAUUUCAGGUUCAGUAUAGUCAGUAGAUAGCUCACUUUGUUGAGGGCUACAAUUGGACUUGCAUCCUUAAAAAUUGUAGGUUUACCGUCUUUGAUACUUUUGGUCGUUCGUGGGCCCACGUGUCACUGUAAAUUAAAUUUUAUACUUUGGUUAUCUGUAUUAUAGUAUGUAUGAAUUUAUUUAGCUUUUACACUAUAAAAAUUAUUUAUCGGUAACUCUAUAAAUAUUAUUUUAUAAAAAAAUAGAAUAUUUUAUUAAAUAUUUUUAUUAUAUUCAAAUAGUCAUUAUUUCAUUUUAAAUGAAGGUUUAAGACGUUUAAACUUAUUUUUGAUUAUGAAUUAUGUGUUUUAUACUCGCAUACUAUAUUUUUAGCUAGUUUCGAAAUUUUUGGGGAAAAAUGACCAAAAUGCCCCUGUGAGACAGAAAUCAUUUUUUUAUUGAUUUAAGUUAGAAAUAGCUUAAAAUCUUUUAGAACAUGAUAUUUGGCAACGGUUACUCACAGGGGAAAUGAGAAACUGAUAUUAAAGCCUUGCGAGGUUCCGAUUGACAUUCCGAGUAAUGAGUGUUGAUCAGGACACCGCGACGGUUGUCACGGGCUCGAGGGGAGUACCGGGUUGUGACAAGAAGCAUUUUGCUCCUCCAUCCAUCAUGAGGCGGCUCGUGUCUUAGGCAACAUUCUUACCUAAACAAGAGCAAACACCUGUUAUUAAACACAUUUUAUAAUCGUACUUAUGGCAAAAUAGUAGUUUCUAAGAUGGAGAAUUUAUGCGAUCCUUUGGUUGUAAAAUGUGUCGCGGUUCACACUUCACCAUCAAAGUUUCCACAUAAAGACCCGACUCUCCGUUGGAGCAACAAAAGGAAAGUCCUAGGACCUAGACAACUUAGGUCUCUGAUACCAAGUUUGUCAUGACCUAAAUUCUGGGCCAUGACUGGCGCAUGGGCCCAAUGGACGUAGUCCACUAAGCCCAAGCAAGCCUACUUAUAUUACUUGGUUAUCAUUUCAUCCCACAAGUUACUAAAGUCAUAAUUCAAAAUCUCAAUUCGAAAUGAUGAAACCAUUGCCAACUCGUACUGGCAUUACUCAUUAAAAUAUACACAUAUUGUUUACAGUAUGUAUUCUAACAAUUAACAUCAGAUUUGUCUAUACAUGUCAAAAGGAGACUUGAUGUCCAGCGGAGAAACUCGACAAAUGUAGAGCUACUGAAUGCCGAGACACCUACCAAGAGUCGAGUCUACAAAGGUACCUCGACCUAGUUACCGACUGCCUCCUAAUCUGAAAAUAUGAAGUUGAAAACAGUGAGUAUAAACCUAGUGAGUGAACAAGGAAGGGAACAAGCAAUAGUAAGGAAGGAUUUUAAAAAUCAUGAUGCACUUAUUUUAACAUAAUGGAAUUUAACUUAGUGCUUAUCAUAACCCCUCAAGAACCCCAAUUGAUUAAAUCACUUAAUGUAAAGGGUCCAUGCUCAACUAUGGUACUAAAGAAGUGGAAAAUAGCGUAGCAAUCGAUCAAGAUACUAAGCGAAACAAAAAGUCUUUCCCUACAGUGAGAUUCAAGCCAUAAAACACAAACUUUCUCGCUGUAGCGAGAACCAUGUCUGGUGAAACUUUCAAAACCCGAGAGUUUCUCGCUAUAGCGAGAAACAAGGCACCAGCAAAAAUUCCCCAUUUGCUCAAGAAAAAGCCAUCCUGCUGAAAUGACAAAAACAACAUAAAACACAUAUAAUUUUCAAAAAUUCUACAUGUCAAGUUUCACAUGCAUUUCAAUCAUAUGCCAUAUUCAUAAGCUUUUAUUUCAUAAACAUAGAUAUACAUGAAUACAUAGAUAACCACCAAUAUCACCAUCAUCACACCCAUUUCAUGUGCAUCCCCCCACAUCGUGCACAUAGCCGAAGUCAUCGAGUGCAUCCCCCCACAUUGUGCAUAGUCAGUGCCAUCGUGUACAUCCCCCCACAUCAUGCACACGGGCACUAUCAUCAUCCACCUCCCUCACCACGCCGUCACCAGCAUGUGCAUCCCCCCACAUCAUGCACACACACAGUUAUAAUCAUCACACAAUAUCAACCAUCAUGCACAACAUAUAUAUCUAUAUAUAUAUACCAACAUAAUGUAGUAAUGCACGAAUCCAUAACAACCACAUGUCACAACAUAAAGUCAAUUAUCAAAGGCUUGUUCCCAAGGCACUCGUUUUUAAGAAAAGUUACGUAAAAUCAUUCAAAUGCUUUGUACAAAACAGUCACAUUCCCAAAAUGAUUUUGAAAUGUAGUUCACUCACUGGUAUUAUUUGAGCCUUUAGUUGAUCCUAACUUCCUUAAUUGUCCAAAUGGGAUGAUGUGGCUUCGUUGGAACCUAUCAUCACAUUAGUAUCACCAAUUUGUCAAUUCACACACUUAUAAAGUCUAAAGCUUUCUCUUAGCUAGCUUCUAAUUACCAUUUAAAUGGCUAUCUAUUUUCACUACCCUAAUCACACUAAAAUGAGUGGAUAACCUCAACUAAAAACAUUCACAAUUCCCUAAAAUAUCUACCAGCACAUGCUAUCCAUAAUUUUCACAAUUAAAAUAAAUCAUACUUAUAGGUAUAUAUUUAUGAAAAUUUUAAAAUUGACACCCCCUACUCACCUUAGUAGCUUGAAACUUUGAAAUUCUUUCUAAUAAAUUUUCCAAGCUAUUAUGGGAGCUUUCUCUCUCUUUCUCUCUCUAUACACCUAGCUAGUGAGAGAAAGUGUGAAAGUGGGAUUUUUUAAGGGUUUUAAAGUGAGAGAGUGAAAGAGCAGAAGGAUUUCAUGAAAAGGUGCACCGAGGCAUGAAAAUUGGAGCUAGAAAGAGAAAAAGUUAUGGAAGCUUGAAGAGGACUCCCAUGGAGGAUGAAGAAACAUGAGAGGGAAGAAGGAAGAAGAAGAAGAAAAGCUGCUGGAGAAUGAGGAAACCGCUGAAAGAAAGAUAUUUAUAGCUCAUACUUAUCCAACUCCCCUUGAAAUUACGAAAAUGCCUUUUAGUAAGUUAACUUGUUCUUCUCCAAUCCUUUGUGAAUUUUUUUUUCUUUUGACACUGAGACAAGGUCCAUAAUGAUCUAAACUACUUCGGUUUACGAAAACUUAAAAUUUUGGGUCAGGGUGCUAAAUGACCAUUUUGCCCCUAUUAUGAAAAUUAUCGAAACUUCUAGUUUUCUUCAUGUUUUCAUCAUUACACAUUAUUUAUUCGGUCUUAUGCCUAUUUAGACCUUAAAAUAUCAUAAAACAUUCUUCUAGGAGCUUUUUAGAGGAAAUGAUGAAACUACCCCUAGCUCGUGUUAUUGCGUCUAUGCGUAGUUAUGAGCCUGUAGGGGUUGAGGUCUCAUAUGGCUGCUAAUUUUUGUGGCUGAUAUGAGUAGCUUUGGCUGCUGAUUUUUGGGUUGAAAGGAGCAAGAACUUAUUGCUGGCGAUGAGAGGGAGAGAGAGGAGGAAAUUGUGGCCGACUUGUGAUUGUAAGAAAGGAAAAAGAAAGAGAAGAAAGGUGUUGCCGAUCGGUGGGAGAGAGGCGAAGAAGAAAGAGAGAAAGAAACUGGAAAGGAAGAAAGAAAAAAAAAGAGAGAUUGGGCAUAGCUUAAUAAGAAAAGAAUGGGCAUGGCCUAAUAGGAAGAAAAUGGGAAGAGCCCAUGGAAAAGGGCCCAAUAGCAACAAAGAAAGAAAAGUCCAAAAGAGAAUAAAGGUGGAGACUUGGGCUUGGGCUAACCUAGCCCAAAUAGGUAAAAAUUUCCUUGCUUUUAUUGGGCUUGUUAUGAAGUUGGAUUAUUUGGGGCUAGCCCACUUGUUUAGUUAAAUUUUGGUUAUUAGUGAUAUGAAUUAAAUUUAAAUUACUUUAAUACAAUAUUUAAAAAAUUGUAUUAAGAUGUGUCAUAGGACUAAAGUAAAGAAGAAAAUAUGAAAUUGAUGAAUAGUGCUCAAGUGGAGUUAAGAAAUUUUAAAUGAUUCAUUGUGAAGAAUUAUUAUUGUUGGAGGAAUUUAUAUGCAUAAUUUAGUUGAAAGUAUUAAGUUGAAUGGUAUAAUAUUUGGAAGAAAUAAGGAGAAAUAAUGUGGAUUGAAAUUGGAAAAUAAUUGGAUAGAUUUGAAAUGACUGUGGUUGCCGUAAAUAUAGUUAAUAUUGUGGAAAUAUAAGAUGGAUUUGGGUAGAAAUUAUUUAGAAAGGUUGAAGUAGGCACAUGACAUCAUAAAUAAGUUGUCGGAGAUAUAAUAUAAGGAAUUAUGUAAGCAACUGAUAUAAGUAAUUUCAGUAAAAAUGUAUUAAGAUGUGAAUUAAUUGAAGAUGGUUUCAUGGUAAGAUGAAAAAUAUAAAUUUAAGUAAAGAUUAAUUGAUUGAAGUGCUACCCGCAUACAUAUGUAAUUAAAUAUAUUGAGUCCAUAUUAUUGCUAGGAAGUGCAAAGAUAAGGUUAGAGUACUGUGGUGGUGUGCCCGAGUAAAUAACGAGCGACCGGCCCCUGAAAAUAGUUAGAGACACCUCCGAACAAAUAGCGACUUAAUAUCUCGUUGUUGCCAAGUGAGUGAACUUGCAUUAAAAUGUUUUGGGAUAUACACAUUUACGUUUGAUUGAAUCCUUUAAAACGUUUUAUUGGUUUUCUUCAAAACUCGACGGGAACAAGCCUUUAGGAAAUGUUUUCAUGCUAUAAAAUGGAUGGUGUGAUGAAUCCAUGUGUUUCUAUAUAAUAUCAAUGUAUAUAUAUAUAUACUAUGUCAUAAAUGAUACAUUGUGUGACAAAAUGCAAUCGUGCAUAUGCGGGGUGAGUGCGCACCUGCUGGUGAUGAUGGCGGUGAGGGAGAUGGAUGAUGAUAUUGCUUGUGCACGAUGUGGGGGGAUGCACACAAUGACUCUGGCUAUGUGUACGAUGUGGGGUGAUGCACAUGAGCUGGGUGAGAUGGGGUGUCCGGCUAUGUGCACGAUGUAGGGUGAUGCACAUGAGCUGGGUGAGACGGGGUGAGAUGGCGGUGUAUGUGCUUAUCUAUAUAUUUACUAUAUAGAGAUGUUUGGAUUUAAAAUGUGAUUACAUUGUCUGUUGAAAACUUGAGUAUUGUCAAUGUGUUCAAUUUAAUGUGCAAUGUGGUAUGAGUGGAUUUUUUCAGUGGCAGUGAAAGCCCCUUGGAUUUUAUUUGGCUAGAAUUUCGUUGUAGCGAGAAUGCCUUUCGUUGCAGUGAGAGUCAAUCUAUUAUGCUUGACUUGCUUGAAUUCUACUAAAGUUUUCACUUUUUAACUUCUUUGUUGUUCAUGAGUCUUUCGUCAUCAAGUGACUAAAUGACUAAGGGUUUGAAUGAGGGGUUUUUAAAUAGAAAUAAACUAAAUUACAUUGUUUUGAACUUAAGUGCAUAAGGAUUUCUAAACCUUCCUUAACGUUGCUUGUUCCCUUCUUAUGUUCACUCAUUGAGUUUAUACUCACAUUUUCAACUUCAUGUUUUCAGAUUCAGGGGUGGUUGCGACGUAGAUUGAGGUGCCCAUGUAUGCCCAUCUUUCGACAGGUAUCCUGGUAUUCAGUAGUCAUAUUCCCCAUCUAGAGUCACUCCGCUGAUGGUCCAGGUCUUUGUCUAUGCUCAAUGUGAAUUGAUAAAAUACAUUGGAUAGACUAUCUAUGUAUAUUUCAAACUAUGAUGCCAAUGUGAACAUCCACUUGGGUUUUAUGAAUUAUGUUUGAAGAAAUUGACAUUUGAACACUAUUACGUAUAGAUCUUAAAGAAAUAUGAUAGAUAGAUGGACCAAUAUACAAGUGCAUAUAGAGAAGCUUGCUUGGGCCUAGUCGGCUGUGCCUAUUGGGUCAUUUCGCCAGUCAUGGCCCAGAAAUUAGGCUGUGACAAGAUCGAGGUGUCCUUGUAGAUUCAUUUCCUUGGUAGGUAUCUCGGCAUUCAAUAGCUGAACUUUCACUCGAGUUUCUCCGUUGGAAGUUGAGUAUCCUUUUUGUUGUGUAUAGACAAACUCGAUGUAAAUUAUUAAGAUAUAUGGUUUAGACAAUAUAUGUAUAUUUGAUUGGAAAUGCCACUACGAGAUAGCAAUGGUUAGCAUUAUUUUGAAUUGAAAUUAUGAAAUGUGACUUUAAUAACUUAUGAUGGAAUGAUGGACAAGUUAUAUAAAUAGGCUUGCUUGGGCUUAGUGGGCUACGCCCAUUGGGCCCAUGCGCCUGUCAUGGCUCGAGAUUUGGGUCAUGACAUGUAUCCCUUAGAAAAUGUCCUCCACAGUCUAAGGAAUGGCAAAGCCGAAGUAUGCUUUAAUUUCUUCCUCUCGGACACGCCUUCUAAGACUUUGGUCUUUGCUUUGCUUAAACAGGAAAGGCUCAUCCCAAGCAUAACAUUUAACAUCAUGCAAAAAUUACUUUUUUUGAUAAAAAUUUAAAUAAGGAGGAAGAAUAUUACUUACUAAAUAAGUCACAAAAUCAGCAUAACAAAGAAGUGAUUUCGUACUAAUUUUAAGAAGUUGUUCAUCAAGGAAGAUCUCAUUGAUUAAGGUUAAGUCUCUACUUUGAGCUUCAUUCUCUAAUCUUGAUAGGUGGUAUGCCACCUGAUUCUCUAUUCCUUUUCUAUCAUAAAUCUUUAAAUCAAACCCUUGUAGCGGAAGAAUCCAUCUUAUUAAUCUUAGCUUGGCAUCCUUCUUGGCAACCAAAUACUUGCUUGUUGAAUAAUCAAUGUGGACUAUCACCUUUUUCCUAAUUAAAUAAGAGCAAAAUUUGUCAAAAGCAAACACCACAAAUAAAAGUUCCUUUUCUAUUGUUGUGAUAUUCCUUUGUGCCUCCUCAUUCAAGGUCUUGCUAUAAUAGAAAUUGAAUGAAAAAUUUUAUCUUUCCAUUGACCUAAUACAACACCCACCGCAUAGUCACUUGCAUCACACAUUAGCUCAAAGAGAAGAGUUUAGUCUGGUCUUAUGAUGAUAGGUGCAGAAAUCAAUCUUCUUUUCAAUUCAUUAAAUGUGGCGAGGCAAGCAUCAUCAAAUUUAAAUGGCACAUCUUUUUCCCAAAGAUUGCAAAGUGGUUUUGAAAUCUUUGAAAAAUCCUUGAUGAAUGUACUAUAAAACCCUACAUGGCCAAGAAAACUUUUAAUACCUUUGACAUUUGUUAGUGGUGGAAGCUUUUCAAUUGUCUCAAUUUUUGCCUUGUCUACCUCAAUACCUCUACUGGAAAUUCAGUGCCCAAGAACAAUGCCUUCUUACACCAUGAAGUGGCAUUUUUCCCAAUUCAACACCAAGUUUGUUUCAUCACAUCUCUUGAGUACCUUAGCAAGAUUCGUGAGACAAUAAUCAAAAGUAUUUCCAAAAACAAAUAAAUCAUCCAUAAAUAACUCCAAACAUUCUUCCAUCAGGUCUGUGAGUAUGGCGAUCAUGCAUCUCCAAAACGUGGUAGAGGCAUUACAUAAUCCAAAUGGCAUUAUGAUAAAUGCAAAGGUACCUUAAAGACAUGUGAUAGUAGUCUUUUCUUGAUCUUUAGGGGCUAUGGCAAUUUGAUUGUACCUAAAAUAACCAUCCAAAAAGCAAUAAUAUUCCUUACCAGCUAGUUUAUGUAACGUUUGAUCGAUGAAGGAAAGAGGAAAGUGAUCUUUUCUUGUAGCUUUGUUAAGCUUGUGAUAAUCCAUGCAAACUCUCCACUUAGCCAUUGUUCUUGUAGGAAUCAGUUCAUUGUUGCCAUUAAAGAUCACAGUCAUUCCCCAUCUCUUUGGUAUACAUUGGAUUAGACUUACCUAUGUGUUAUCAGAGAUUGGAUAAAUAAUUCCAGCAUCCAACCACUUAAUGAUUUCUUUCUUGACCCCUUCUUUCAUGAUAGGAUUGACUCUUCUUUGAUGUUCAAUGGUGGCCUUGUGGUUGUCCUUAAGAAGGAUCUUGUGCAUUCAUAUGGAAAGGCUAAUUCCUUUAAUAUCUGCAAUGGUCCAUCCUAUUAUUUUCUUGAACUUUUUAAGUACUCUCAACAGCUUGUUUUCCUGUAUGUUAUUGAGAGAAGCACAAAUAAUAACUGGAUGAGUAGAAGAGUUUCUAGGAAAAGCAUACCUCAAGGGUGUUGUCAAGGGUUUAAGUUCCAAGGUAGGAGGUUCUUCAAUAGAAGGCUUAGAAGCUGGAAUUAAAGAAACUGAAACUUUUAAAGACUCAAAUUGAUGAUUAGAUUUAGAUCUUGAUUGAGCAUUUAACAAAUUUGAGUAUUCAAGAAAUUCAAUAUCAUCCCUAUCAGAAUUAGCAAUUAAGCAUGCUUUAAGUGGGUCAAUAGGAUAUUCUUUUAAAAACACCUCAUUUGUUAGACUACUUACCAUAUUCACAAAAAACAUUCUUCAAAUUUCAUGGGAAAUCUUAAAGCUCUAAAAAUAUUGAAUGUUACCUAUUGAUCUUGAGCGCUCAAGGUAAGCUCACCUUUUUCCACAUCAAUUAGAGUACUUCCAAGGAUGAUCAAAAUUUGCUUAUCUUCCUCUAUGUCAAGAAUUAGAAAAUCAACUAGAAAGAUAAAUUUAUCUACCUUGACAAGAACAUCUUCAAUGAUUCCUCUUGGAUAAACAUAGGAAUGAUCAGCAAGUUGUAGUGUCACAAAAGUUGGCUUGUAUUCCCCCAAACUAAGUUUCUCAAAGAUCAACAUGGUAUCAAAUUGAUACUUGCACCCAAAUCACUUAAAACUUUACCAAAGAACAAUUUUCCAAUUGUGCAAGGAAUUGUAAAACUCCCAAGAUCCUUGAGUUUUGGUGGCAAUUUAUUUUGGAGAAUUACUCUACAUUAUUUUAUGAGAGGAACAGUCUCAAACUCACCCAAUUUUCUCUUAUUGGAAAGAAUGUCUUUCAAGAACUUGACAUAAUUUGGCAUUUGUUCCAAAGCUUUAGCAAAAGGGAUAUUUAUGUGUAGCUUCUUGAAGACGUUAAAAAAAUUUUGAAAUUGUUUAUCAAGCUUUUUUUUUUUAAACCUUUGACGAAUAGGUGGUGAAAGAUGAUUUACUUGAGACUUUACAUGAUUUUCAUCUUUCCCAUCAUCUUUCUUUUUAAUGUCAACUUCCUUCUCAACAAUUACCUCUUCAUCAUUAACAUGCUCUUUUGAAGAUUUAGUUACCUUUUUACUUACCCCUUUAGCCUCUUUUCCACUCUUUAGAGUGAUUACCUUGCAUUGCUCUUUACAUUUGGGAUUGUCUUAAGUGUCACUUAGGAUGGUACCUUGGGGCUUAUUAUUAAUGGAAUUAGCAAGUUGGCCUAAUUAAGUCUCAAGAUUUCUCAAUGAAGCUACUUGACUUUAAAUGAUGGUGUCAUUUUUUGCCAUGUAUUACCUAAGAAGAUCUUCCAAGGUAGGCUUCUUUUUAAAGACAAAAGGUCUAGCUUUUUAUGUGAAACUAGGAGAGAUGUUUGGCCUUGGAUUUGAAGGCCUUGGGUUGUUAUUCCAUGAAAAGCUAGGAUGGUUCCUCAAACUAUAGGUGUUGGAAUAUGGAUUAUUUUGUUGCCUAUUGAAGUUCCCAACAAAUUGUACCGAUUUAGGAUUAGAUGGACAUUGAUCACUGAAGUGGCCUUCUCCACACAAAUUGUUGGUUUCCUUGAGUCAUGUAAUUAAAAAUAAAAUAUGUAGCGAAAAUAUUAAAACUCGAUAACCUCAACAUGGAUCACCACAAAGCACCAUAGUCGUUAUGAUAUAAGCAAAAGGAAUGGUUGUACCUUAGUGUUGUUCAAUUUUCUACCCACGCAAGUGUACGUAUCGCAAAGAUAAUAUAGAGAUGAGUAGAGUGUCGAUCUCUCAGAGAAUUGUUUUAAUUCCUAAUGUUAAGUACUAAAAUUGACACACCCUAAUCUUAUCCAAACAAAUAACAAUAUAAUUAAAACUAAUAACUUAAAAACUAAAACUAAUCUAAAAUAUAUCAACAAAAUUAUUAACUUCUUAUGAUUACCAGACCUAAGAUUAUGAUAUCCCUUAAUACUUCAUCUGAAUAUUGUCUCUCUCUCUUAACUUAGUUUAAUGGAUUAAGUUGUUAACCUAGAGUCCUAAUUAUUUACAAGCCUCUGUCGAGUUUCUCAUAAAAAUAUCUCUCUCAAUUAAUUUACCAUAUGUCUAUGCAAAUUAUAUUGAAGAAAAAUUCAUUAAGUUUGAGCUCUAAUUUUGGCUACGUACGGUUUAUAAGUGUAUGUUUACCCUAUAUGUAAAUCAAACUACCUAAUCAACUAAGUGCAUUCGAUCAUACGCUAUUCUAUUCAAGGUCUACCUAAAUCUCCUUCGUCAAGGUUUAACCUAGGUUUCCAAUUCAAUCUAAUUGGUGGCCAGUCAACUAGAAGCAUUAAGAAUAGAAUAAAAUAAAUAACUUAAAUUCAUCAAACAUAAGUAAAAGAUAGAUAAAUAAAUCAAACUACAUAUUGAGUUUAAUCAUAAUCUUAGAUUAAUGAAUUAGUUCCCUAUCAAGUCAAACAUCAUCAUCAAAUAAAAUUUAAACAUUCAAAUCAAACUAAGAAAAAUAAGAAAAUAACAAAAAGAUAGAAAAAUCCAAGAACUGUAUUCUUGAUCUUCAAAUUCUUCUUAACUUUAAUAACUUAGUGGCUUGACUCUCAACUGUCAAUCUGGCGUUUCGUUAUCUUUUUUAAAAGUCUUCCGAAAGGUUGUUUUUAUAGGGCUUUGAAGUUAAGUCAAGUUGGGUGAAGGAAAAAGUCAAUUUCAGUUGGGAUUUGUUAUUGCCUAAUUAAUUAACAGAAAUCAUAAUUGCACUAGGAUAACUGCAAUGCAUCAACUUUGACAAGAGUUUUGACUACCUUCUAGGCCGAAUUAGGUGAAGUAAAAACAUAAAAUUUCUAUAUUUUUCUCUUAUCUUUACAAUGGUUUAAAGAUCACUUCAUUUGGAGCUUUGUUAAGAGAGUUAUGGCUAAAAUACCAAAACAUGUGCAGUGCAAGUUUGCACCUUGAAAUUGCUCUUCUUCUUUCAUUGAAAUUCUUCUUUCAUCAAAUACUUACAAAAGCACAAAUAAAUCAAUAACAACCUAUCUUAACCACAUUAACACCAAAUUAAGCAUAAAAUUAACUAAGAUUAGAAUGACUUACCAAAAUUAACUAAUUUAAAAUAAUUAAAUAAAAUCUACUAAUUUCUAUGUAUUACUACAAGAACUAAGCUAAAUUAUUAUCUAAAUUAAGUCUAAAUAACUCUAUAUUAAAGAGUUAUCACAUAGCCCUUAGAAUGUAUAGAUUCAUAGAGGGUAACAAAGAUAUUUCUUCACGUGAAUGCAUACCAAGGUCCAGUUGUUGAAAACCAAAACCAUCUAAAUAUUCCACCUCUAACGUAGUCUAUAUAAUCACUACGAGCUUGAACCUUCUUCAAGGGGUCGGGGUUGUUUUUGAUCAAACCUUAUGCUAACAAGGAAGUUUUACAAAGCUCAAGUGUUUUUCUUACUCUUUCUCUUGGCUGAAACUGAGGAGGAAGAACUUUUCUGUCUUCCUUUUCAAUGUGCUGCUAAAGCAAGAGUAGGAAAAAAAAGUACUCUCUUUCUCUUUGGUCUAGAACAACAUAUUUAUAGUUAAGGUUAAUACUUAAGUAGUGUUUAGUUAUCACCACAUAAUUUUUAGAUAAUUAAGUAUUUAACCCCAUUACUUAUUCAAACAUUUUAAUUAAGCUUAAUAGAAGUUCAUAGGCUCUAUUCAAUUAAGUCUUACUUAAUUGUAAAAGCCUAUUUUAAUCUUAUCAUAGUGAUUUUAUGUGUGUGACCCAUUAGACUCCUAACAAGUUGGUAAUGGACUUGAUUAUAAUCUUAAUGAAUUAGGAAUAAAUGAAUCAUAUUCAUUAUUAAUUCCUAAUUUAUUAAUUCAAUUUCAUAAACCAAGAUUGGUAUCUAGCAAUGAAUCAUGGCCACCCAAACGUUAGGAGAGUUAAUAUGGUUUGACUAACCUUUCAAUGUCCAGUCUAUCAGUGUAAUUCAUUCCCUCAUCAUAUAUCCCAGAGAUAAUAAGAGCAUGGUGUAAUGUCUACUCUUAUUGAUCUCCAUAUUCGUUCUUGAAGUUAGAUCUUUAGCUUUAUGGAGACUUAUGAAACUUUUUUUUCAUAAUCUCCAAAUAGCCUUCACCAAGGACUUUAACAAGCUAAUAUCAACCAAGAAAUGUUAGGAUAUGUCCCUUAAAUCACUUGAGGUGAUGAUUCCUUUCUUGACCACUCAUUUACCUUUGCAUGCUUCAUACUACAACCAACAUAUCUUGUUUUGAUAACCUUGGUAGAACUCGUAGUGAUAUUAUCAAAUAUAUAGCACUCCACAUACAAGACAACCUGAUGUCUCAGGUCUAAGGAUUAUUUACACAACUAAGACAUGAGAAAUAUUUGCAAAAGUUGGAGUGAGAUACCAAAUGCAUUUCUCAUGUCAAGUCAUGUUCAAAGAACUUGAUCUCCCAAGGCAAGCACCCGAAUGCUAGUUUGAAGUAUCUCUAUAGUUCAAUCUAUGAGAUCGAUUGCUUACUUCACAAGUAAAGAACAUAGUAUGUACCAAUCUUUGAGCAUUAUUGAUACCUCAUGUCAAUAAUACAAUGAUCAAGAACUUUUAGGAACAAUGCUUUAAUGCAUAAGGAUCUCAUAAUUGUAUAUUAAUACAAUUUCUUUGCAAAGCAUAUAUAGUUCCAUGGGAUUUAUCUACAUAAGUAUAAAUAGUAAUUAAAUUACAAACUCAUUGAUAAAGAACUACCUUAAUGUUAUUCCUCCAUGUGUUAUUAUAAAUAAUAAAGGUCAUAUAUAAAUAAAUUAAAGUAUAAUUCCAUACAACCACUAAUUGGCUUGUAAGGCUCAUAUUAACACAAAUAUCAAGUUAUAAAGGCGUUUUGGACAGCAUUAACUCCCAUUGUAUCAAAUUUCUUUGCCAAUGAAGCUACUUGUGUAGUCAAGGCAUUAAGUGUAUCAAUCUCAUGAACACCAGUAGCUCUUCUAGGAUCAGAUCUUUCUAAUGGUCAUUGGUAAUUAUUAGAUGCCAUUUCUUCCAACAAAUUGUAAGCCUCAUUAAGAUUCUUAUCCAUUAAUGGCCUACUAAUUGCAGCAGCAAUUAUAGCUCUAGUUGAACUCAUCAACCUAUUGUAGAAUGGCUAAACUUGCAACCAUGUUGGAAGCCCAUGGUGCGAACAUCUUUUAAGUAAAUCCUUAAAUCUCUCCCGAGCUUCAAACAAUGAUUCACCAUCAAAUUGUGUAAAAGCAAUUAUAUGAUUCCUCAUCUUUGCAAUCUUGGCUUAUGGAUGGAAUUUUGCCAAAAAAGUUUUAGCCAAGUCAUCCCAUGUAGUGAUAUAUCUUGUUGGGAGUGAAUUUAGGUAACUUUUUGCCUUAUCCUUUAAUGAAAACAAAAAGGGUCUCAAUCUGAUAGCAUCAUCAAUUACCUCAUUAUACUAAAGUGUCACAAAUUUCUAGGAAAUUCACUAAAUGAGAGAGUUAGGAUCAUCAUUGGGUGAUCCACCAAAUCGAACUGAAGAUUAAAUCAUCUGAAUAUAAGCAGGCUUAAUGAGAGGUCUUCUGAUGCUUUGUUGCAAGCCUUGCAAGAAAAGAACAACAUAAUCUUGGAAGGACUUGUUCUCUUCAGGAAUUUGAUUAAUGGCAUUGUUGCCAUUAUUAACAUUUUUGUUAUCUUUAACCAUUAUUUGAUUGAGAGUUGUACCUUGCAAAAUUUCCAUUUGAAUUUUUCUAAAAGUUCUUUCUAUCUUUGGAUAAAAUGGAACAAAUUCAAGUUACUUCUCUAUUGCAUACAGUGACCAAAGAUGCUUGAAAGUAAAAGGAAAACAAAUAAACUUUGAAGUAAGACUAACUUUGUUUAGCAUUAAUAUUAACAAAAAUUCUAGAAACCAAUUCUUUGGCAGCAGCGUAAAAAACUUGUUGUUUAAUUUUCUAGCCUCACAAGUUUAUGUAUUGAAUAGAUAAUAUAAUGGCAAGUAAGGUGUCGAUCCUACAAAUAAUUGAUCUAAUAUUUGUUAAAUACUAAAAUUAUGACAAUUUAGUCUUAUACAAACAAUCAAAAUUGAAUAACUAAUUAAACUAAAAAUUAACUGAAUCUAAUUUAACAAGGAUAUAACUAAAAAAUAUCAAAGCAAUAAUAUAACUUGAGAAAAAUCAAUUCAAACAAACUUAAGAUUACAAUAUCCCUCACACUUCAUCUAAAUCUUACUUCUCUCUCUUAAUUUAUUUCAAUGGAUUGAAUUGUUAACCUAAAGUCCUCAAUUAUUUAGAAGGCUCUUCCGAGGUUCUUAUAAAAAUAUCUAUUUUAACCAAAACACUAGUUUUCAAUAUGAAUUGGAAGUAAUACAGACUCAUUAAGUUCAGGCUCUAAUUUCAGCUACAAACGGCAUAUAGGUAUAUUCCUAUUCUAUACACAAAUUAAUUUAUUCACCCAAGCAAAUAAAUAUGGUCGCAAGCUAUUCCAACCUUGACUUACACUAAACUCCCUUUUCCAAGUUAUGAUUAGGUUUCCAAAUCAAUUUAAUUGGUAACUAAACAAUUAAAUGCAUUAAGAAUAUAUUAGAAUAAAAAAUUCGAAACCAUUGAAAAUAAUCAAGAAAGAGAUUAAAAAUUUAGACUACAUGUGAGUUCAAUUGAAAUCCUAGGUAAAAGAAAUUUACCUGCUCAUGAUUGAAAUAAAAAUCAUCCAAAGUUUAACCAUUAAAAAUUACAAGGAUAAUAAAAGAGAAUAAAGAACAAGAAAACAAAGAUUGGCAAUCUUGAUCGUAAGUUUUCCACUUUAAAGGCUUGGCUUUUCAAAUUUCUGGUGGCUAACUUCUCUAAAAACUAAAAACUCCUAAUAAUCCCAAACCUAGCAUAAUUUGCUAUAUAUAGAGGCUUAGAAUAAUUAGCUAUCAUAAUAAUCCUAAACCUUAUUAGGACUCUUUUGUCUUCCAAGCAAUGCACCAGCCCACAACCUUUAACAAUUGGGUUGGAAAUUCAAAUUUUGGCUCUCGACGUUAUUGCAUUGGGCUUCGAUGUCAUAGUGUUGGGCUGGCUUUAGCUCCUCAUUCAUUAGCAAAUGUAGUCUAUCAAAUUUCAAUACAAUUGUCUCCAACUUUAAGGCAAAACUAGGCAAAAUGGUAUUCAUCAAAGUUGUAGCUUUGUCUCUCAGCUUUCUAAUGGCUCAAGAAUCACUUCAUUUGGACUUCUGGAGUGAGAGUUAUGCUUGAACCACUUUGGCAUGUAUGAAUGAAGCUUAGGUCCUUUAAGCACCUUUCUUCACCAAUUUUAGCCUUAUUCCUUGGAAUGCUACAAAAACAUAAAAAUUAAUAAGUAAUAACUAAACUAAAGAUAAUAGACAAAAAAAAACUUAAUAAAAGUAAACUAAUUAGAAAAAUAACUAAAUCUUAACUUAAACUCAAGAACAUAGCUUACUUUUAAGAACAAAACGAGGCAAAAUAGUUAUAUAAGAUAGAAUGAUCAAAACUUGAAGCAUUUAUUGUUCAACAAUGAACAUCUUUACCUCAAUAUCUUCUUUGGAAGGCAAAACCCUAAAAAAUCCUUAGCACAAAAGAGGGUUUUGCUCUGAAAUUUAAAAAAAAGAGGAUUAAAGUAAAUCCAUGGAUUUAGAGCUUAAAAGUGGUUAAUCUUACCUUAGAUUCAAGUUGGAAGGCUUAAUCCUUGCUAAAUAGGGUCUAUGGAGGCUAUAGAAAAGUUUUUAGAGUGAAAGAAGAUUGAAAGAAAUGAAAAAUGAGAAAAAAGGCUUGGGUUAGGUCUUUUAUUUUUACUGCUGAAGCCUAGGGAUCGACCUUUAAUGCCCAGGGUUUGAUCCCUUAGUCCCCGUGGCUGUAAGGCUUAACCCUAAAUAAGAUCAACCCUAAAUCCUUAGAGAACGAUCCUUUUAGAUUCCAGAAUCAAAUUUUUUGUUCUAACUUUCAAGGAUCGAGUCUUUAGCCGUUAGGGGUCAAUCCUUGUGAUUCUAGAAGCUAUUGCAUGUGUUUUGUUGUGCAAGGAUUAACCUUUUCUCUUUUAGGGGUCAAUCCCUCACAUUUCCAUAAGCGAUUUUUAAAUUAUAAACUUCCAAGGAUUGACCCUUACUCCUUAGGGAUUGACCCUUUAUGCCUUAACUUGCAAAAAUGCAUUUUUUUGGUUUCCUUUUCCUCUAGUUCUUUCAAUCAUCAGUCUUACACCAAUAUAACACAAUAAUAUGGAGAAUUUUAUAACAAAAUAGUUCGAAAACUCAUCCAAUAACUCAAUUAUAUUAAGGCUCAUACCAAUAUCUUCAACUUAAUCAAUUUCACUUAAAUGAAAGGUUGCGGUUUCACAAUAUCCUUUUGUAUCCUUGUGGAAAGAGGUAAUUUCUAUUAAUUAGCUUAUUUCAUUAUAUAUAGUAAUUUCAUUAAUGAGUAUUAAUAAAGAUCAAUUGAUUUUGUAAUACUUUUAUGGAUACUAUAAUGACUCCCACCAUCAAGAGUCACUUCAAUGGGCCCUAGCCUAAAUGGAGGUUGAUUCUUCCUAGGAAAGAUUGCAUGUGGCGUAAUUUUGAGGUACCAUAUUUUUAUUGUAUAUUUAUCUAGCUUUUUCGUAACAAUACCAAUAUAUAUUUAUUUUUAAUGUAGGGAUCUUUUAUAUGGACUACUAUAAAUGGUUUGAUGAUCCACAUCAUAUGGGAGAAGAUUUGCAAGAAACAAUUAAAAGAUCUAUUAGGGGACAAGUACGAGAAAGCCAAGAGGGAAACGAGCACUUGUCACGAUGUCCUGAUCAAAGGGAAAGCACGCCUUUGGAUCACUGUAGACAUCUAGGACCAGCCAGUUGAUAAUGUCUGGGCCAUUCAUGAAUGGCAAUGCAGAUCCGAGAAAGCCCAACAAAACUACUUAGUAGAGAAGAAUGGCAACAUAGGAAAACACAUUGGUGAUUCUUUACCUUUUGCAAUACAUUAGAAGAGAAUGGUAUGUGUUCUUAACUCGUAUUAAGAUAAUGUGAGUCUUUCGUUGUUGUUUUGUUGUUCACAAUUGUGAAACCAUGCAUAAUUUUGGUGAUGCAUUUGUUUUUCUUGUGAUUGUGUUGUGUUACCAUUGUCUUAGGAUUGAAAACAUGUUGUUGUUAUUGUUGUUGUGUUGCUUUUGUUGAAGAUUAUGAAAACAUGCAUAUUGGUAAUGAUGCAUUUUUUGUUCUUAUUGUCUUGUUUUGUGUCAAGCCCGGCUCUACAAUAUGUUUAUUAUGGAGUCAAAUUAGAAUUUUCAUGACUUAGGGGCAAAAUGGUCAUUUUGCCACCCGAGGUUAAGAUGUGAGUGUUGGAUGAAAUUUUUGACUAAGAUUGAUCAUUUGGAGUAUAAUUUGAGUUUGAGAAAUGAAGAAUUUUAAUUUUGACAUUUUUUCGAGCAUAGGGCUAAAAUAGUCAUUUUGCCACCCUAGUGGCAAAAUUAUAAUUUUACACCACCCAACACUUGUCCAGCAUAUGGAUUUUACCCAUUAUUGUCAUGGAUAAUUGAAGGAUUUUAUGUGGUGGAGAAAGAAAGCUUAAUAGUUAAGAAUUAAAAAAAUGGACCAAUGGAAUGGUGACAAGUGUCAAGCUUUUAUUUCUUUAUUAUUUUCCUUAUAAAUUAGCACAAAAUCAGCCCAUUUCUCAUUCUUAUGGUCGGCCAAAGCAAGAACAAAGAAAGAAAAGGAAGAACAAAACCCUAGGUGGAAAAAUUCAAGGAAAAAGUGUGAAAAUUCAAGGAAACAAGUGAAAAAAGGUAAGAUGUUUUCAAUUAAGCUUGAGAUCUCUCUUUCUUAAAGCAUUUUUUCUUAUUUUCCAUGGUUGAAUCACAUGAAAUCAUGAUUAAUCCUUUGCUGGCCAAACAGUUAGAGGGAGGUUUUGAUGCUUGAUUUGGUUAGAUUUCAAUGUAUUUUAGUGUUUUUAGUUAGUUAGUGAUGUAUAGCAUGAAAAUCAAGCAAGAAAAAUUCAUGUUCUUCCAUAACCCAUCAUUGGUCGAAUCUUCCAUGUAGAGUGUGGAUGGUGAAUUUGAUUUUAUUUCAAGUGAAUUAGUUAGGAAAUGAUGAAUUACGGUGAGAAAAUCAAGUAGGAAAAAUCAUAGUAUUGAUGCACCCACCAUGGCCGAAAUUCCCAAGAGAAAAUGUGAAGAUGAUUUUGCUAAAUUUUAUACUAUUUGACUUGUGUUGAUGGUUUGGAGAAUUGGAAGAAAAAUGGAAUUAUUGGAGUUGAAUUGGACAUAUUGGCCAAUUAAUCGAGUGAUAGAUCAAAUUAGGCCAAUACCGUUUUAUUUAGGUACACAAUUGAAUUUGUCUAGAACACAGUGUUUAGACGAUAAUCCGAACAAUUUACAUCCCAUUUCAUGCAUUAGUAUAAAGCCUGAAUUGGUUUUACAACGGUUUAGCACUAAUGUAGUAAAUGGCUUAUUGUGCAUUAUGUCUAGGUGGUGAGCUUUCUGGCAAAAGUAAAGAGAUAGUACCCGAGGAUCAAGAAUCGGAGUACUCGAAAUUCGACUCCCGAAAUUGUGAGUAACCUUACUAUCGUCUUAAUUAUCUAAAGUAGUUUUUAUUUGAUUUUGUGAAUUUUAUGGAAAAUGAGUUUAAACGGUUAAUUUUUAGGUUUUAUAAACAAAAUGUGUUUAAAUGAAAUCAUUUUAUAAAUUGUCUUGAAAUUGAAUGAUGGCUUUGAAAAUAGAGUAAUUGGAGACCAUUUGAUGUAUUGUAAAUUUAUGGUUCUAAUUGAUUGGCUUAUGAUAAUGUUGGCAUGAAUGGUUGAAUUGGUAAAUGUGCUAAAAAUAUAUGAACUGUUGAUUUGCCUUGAGAGGUUGUAAAAUAAAAUAAUUGCCAUGUCAUGCUGUUGAAUUUUAUUGAAUUGGUGGGUUAUAAAUUGGUCGCUGCAGUGGACGGGUUCUGUGGACCAACCUAUUAGAGGGGCACGGUAACCCUAUUAUAUUCAUACCUCAGUAUAAGAGGCGCGGUUGGAUAACUCUUGAGGUUAAAGCUUUAGAGUUCACUUCACGCCAAACCACCACGUGAGGGUGAACUCAGCCAACGCUAAGGAACGACUAUAUUUUCAAAAUAAAUAAAAAACAUGAUUUAUGCGUACAUGACUUUUAACAGCCUUGUUGGACUUGGUUGGGAUAGCCCCAGGCCAAGGUAUCCCUGAUAACUGAGUAUGAGGAUGAUUUUGGCAUGAGCCAAACUUUUCAGGAAAUCAUAAGCCUUGUUGUUUAUUUUGGUGAAAUGAAUCUACUUUAUCUUAUCAAAAUGAGUUCGAAAUGUUGUGGAUCAUUUUUAUGCUAAUCUAUUUUAUCUGUCUCCAUUUGCUCAGCUUUAGAUAUUUUAGAUGGUAUUUGUUUACUCACUAGGAUUAUAUAAUCUCACCACCCUCCUUUCCACCCCUUUCAGGCUCAGGAUAGUCUGUAAAUAGCUCAUUUUGUUGAGGGCUACAGUUGGACUUGCAUCCUCAAAAACUGUAGGUUUACCGCUUUUGAUACUUUUGGUCGUUCGUGGGCCCACGUGUCACUGUAAAUUAAAUCUUAUGCUUUGGUUAUCUGUAUUACAGUAUGUAUGAAUUUAUUUAGCAUUUACGCUAUAAAAAUUAUUUACCG